RNAcentral lists this transfer RNA (72 nucleotides) under Cavia porcellus (domestic guinea pig). It matches the Rfam family "tRNA". From Rfam's summary of the family: Transfer RNA (tRNA) molecules are approximately 80 nucleotides in length. Their secondary structure includes four short double-helical elements and three loops (D, anti-codon, and T loops). Further hydrogen bonds mediate the characteristic L-shaped molecular structure. tRNAs have two regions of fundamental functional importance: the anti-codon, which is responsible for specific mRNA codon recognition, and the 3' end, to which the tRNAs corresponding amino acid is attached (by aminoacyl-tRNA synthetases). tRNAs cope with the degeneracy of the genetic code in two manners: having more than one tRNA (with a specific anti-codon) for a particular amino acid; and 'wobble' base-pairing, i.e. permitting non-standard base-pairing at the 3rd anti-codon position. Lineage: Eukaryota; Metazoa; Chordata; Mammalia; Rodentia; Caviidae. The record is from Rfam by way of RNAcentral.
GGAGAUGUAGCUCAGUGGUAGAGCCCUCACCUCAUAUGUGUAGGGACCUGGGUUCGAUCCUCACCACUGCCA